AGAUGGAGGCACUGAAAAUUU
This 21-nucleotide microRNA is filed under the name Bos taurus (domestic cattle). RNAcentral's name for it is "bta-miR-2417". The record is from miRBase by way of RNAcentral. Lineage: Eukaryota; Metazoa; Chordata; Mammalia; Artiodactyla; Bovidae.